Small nucleolar RNA from Microtus ochrogaster (prairie vole), 118 nucleotides. RefSeq annotates it as small nucleolar RNA SNORA57. NCBI's taxonomy places the organism in Eukaryota, Metazoa, Chordata, Mammalia, Rodentia, Cricetidae. The record is from RefSeq and is a predicted model, not a curated record.
GAGAUUUUUCAAGUAGCAAUUCCUAGCCAAUAACUCUAUUAGAAAAGCCUAUCAUGUUAUGUCUUCGGUGCCUGCGCCCUCCCGUUCGCCAGUUCUAUCCUCAGACACCAGGACAUCU